RNAcentral lists this non-coding RNA (701 nucleotides) under Capillaria sp. cat-2018. Lineage: Eukaryota; Metazoa; Nematoda; Enoplea; Trichinellida; Capillariidae. The record is from RNAcentral.
CUUUUAUUAUAACUUUUGGUAAAUGGAACAUUUAAAAUAUUAUUUGAUGUAAUUGUUCUAACACAAAUUAAAAUUAUGCAAUGAUCUUUGACAUAGAAUUUUAUUUAAGUGAUAAAUUUUUGUGCCAGCUAUCGCGGUUAUACAUUAACUUUAUGUUCAUCUUCUUGUAUUACUCGUAAUGAUAUUUAUCAUUUAUUUAAGAAAAAGGUAAAAUUAUUAAUCGUUUAAUGUGUGUAUUUACGUAGUAAAAAAUUUUAAUUUAAAACUAGGAUUAGAUACCCUAUUAUUAGAAAUUUAAUGAACUAAGAAGUGAAGUUAAAUAAAAACUUAAUUAAGAUGGCGGUAAAAUUUUCUUUUAGAGAGGGUUGUCCUAUAAUCGAUAAUCCUCGUUAAAUUCCUCUUUUGAAAUUUUGUAUAUCGCCGUUAAAAUUUAGCUUUAGGUUGAGUUUAGUAUCUUUAAGUUAUAUUAUCAGGUCUAGAUACAAAUUAUGAAGAGUGUUUGAGAUGACCCGUGAAUUAUAAAUUAGUUAUUUUGGUUGAUUUAGUUGAUUAAAUUUCAAUACAUAUUAGGAUUUAAAAGUAAUAUGAUUUUAUUUAAUAUUUGUAUGAUAUAGAAAUAUUUUAUGCACAUAUUGCCCGUCACCCUCUAAAGAGGUAAGUCGUAACAAAGUAAAUUUUCUGGAAGGAGAGUUUAGUUAUUA